Molecule: long non-coding RNA, 583 nt
Organism: Hyla sarda
Lineage: Eukaryota; Metazoa; Chordata; Amphibia; Anura; Hylidae
Exons: 3
Source: RefSeq, a predicted model, not a curated record
CUCAGCAACUUUUCCUCUGAACAGGUUUUGAUAAAUCUCCCCCAAUAGUAUUUAAGCUCCAUCUUUGACUCCAGAGAUAUUCCAUCCCAGCUUCCUGUGUCGUAGAUACGCAGAUAAGCGAGCAAUUUGUCAUUGCUUAGAUACUUAUCAGUCGGAUACUUAAAGAUGAAAAGAGCCGCGUCCCCCAGCGCCUGGAUGGUAGGAUUUUCAUAUUGCCCACACCUGUUACUUGACUCAGACAAAGCCUCCAGAUCUGACAACCCGCUGUGUCAGCACUUCUACGUGACAGACACCUAUGGGAUCAUCGACAAACUCGACAAGGUUGUGAUUGACUGAAUGGUACACGAAAUCAAUGUGGAUAACCAGUAAAGACAGCCGCGGCAGAUCUGGAGACUCCUUGCUCCGCUGGCAGGUUCUAUCUCCUAGAUAAACUCUCCCCCAUAACAUUUUCAAUUGGCUAAGCCUCGAUAGAGAAGCGGAGGGAACUUGUGCGCACCCUGGGAAAGUGCCGGCGUCAAUAAAUAAUAAGGCUCCAGGCAACCAGGUAAUUAAAAAGUCGCGGAAUUAAAAAUUGAGCGCGCGU